Molecule: ribosomal RNA, 439 nt
Filed under: Dietzia kunjamensis subsp. schimae
Lineage: Bacteria; Bacillati; Actinomycetota; Actinomycetes; Mycobacteriales; Dietziaceae
Description: bacterial SSU rRNA
Rfam family: Bacterial small subunit ribosomal RNA
Source: RNAcentral
CUGGCUCAGGACGAACGCUGGCGGCGUGCUUAACACAUGCAAGUCGAACGGUAAGGCCCCUUCGGGGGUACACGAGUGGCGAACGGGUGAGUAACACGUGGGUAAUCUGCCCUGCACUUCGGGAUAAGCCUGGGAAACUGGGUCUAAUACCGGAUAUGAACUCCUGCCGCAUGGUGGGGGUUGGAAAGUUUUUCGGUGCAGGAUGAGCCCGCGGCCUAUCAGCUUGUUGGUGGGGUAAUGGCCUACCAAGGCGACGACGGGUAGCCGGCCUGAGAGGGUGAUCGGCCACACUGGGACUGAGACACGGCCCAGACUCCUACGGGAGGCAGCAGUGGGGAAUAUUGCACAAUGGGCGAAAGCCUGAUGCAGCGACGCCGCGUGGGGGAUGACGGUCUUCGGAUUGUAAACCCCUUUCAGUAGGGAACGAAGCGCAAGUGAC